GUCUCUGUGGCGCAAUCGGUUAGCGCGUUCGGCUGUUAACGGAAAGUUUGUUGGUUCAAGCCCACCCAGGGACG
Molecule: non-coding RNA, 74 nt
Organism: Danio rerio (zebrafish)
Lineage: Eukaryota; Metazoa; Chordata; Actinopteri; Cypriniformes; Danionidae
Source: Rfam